RNAcentral lists this transfer RNA (76 nucleotides) under Clostridium sp. CAG:768. RNAcentral describes it as "transfer RNA-Lys(CTT)". It matches the Rfam family "tRNA". From Rfam's summary of the family: Transfer RNA (tRNA) molecules are approximately 80 nucleotides in length. Lineage: Bacteria; Bacillati; Bacillota; Clostridia; Eubacteriales; Clostridiaceae. RNAcentral also lists the same sequence under 1 other name. The record is from RNAcentral.
GGGCUUAUAGCUCAGUUGGUAGAGCAGUUGACUCUUAAUCAAUUGGUCGAGGGUUCGAGCCCCUCUGAGCCCACCA